Molecule: long non-coding RNA, 4637 nt
Filed under: Pongo abelii (Sumatran orangutan)
Lineage: Eukaryota; Metazoa; Chordata; Mammalia; Primates; Hominidae
Description: lincRNA
Source: RNAcentral
UUAUUUUUAAUAUUAUGUUGUAUUUGAUGUGCUAUCCUAUUCAUUUAGUAUAAGCACAUUUUUCUUUAUGUCUUCAGCAUAAUUAUAUGCUUUUUCAGAAUUUUAACAUCAGGACUGCUUCCAGAUUAGCUUCAUUGCCCUUUGUCUUAAGUAUGGAUUAUAGUUUUCAUUCUUUGUAUGUCAAGUAAUUUUGGAUUGUAACUUGAACUUUGAAUAUACUGUAGAAACUCUGAAUUCUAUUUUAUUCUUCUAAAACAAUAUUUCUCAGCUUCAGCACUAUUGACAUUUUGAACUGGGUUAUUUUGUUUGUGUUGUUGUGUGUGUUUUGGGAGGGUACUGUUCUAUAUGCAUUGUGGGGUACUGAGUAUUAUCCUUUGUCUCCACUCACUACUUACCAGUAGCAUAACUCUCUCUCCUCCCCGCAUCCCCUGCCAAAAAAUGCCUUCAAUCCUUUCUAAGCGCUCUUUUUUAUGGUGUUGGGGCCAAAAUCAUACAUCCUUACUCAGUCUUUCUCAUUGAGAGCUAUGGCUGUAAAGGGUAGUGAUGCUUUUACAUAUUUAUUUUUAAGGCAAGCCGUUAACUUAGCUGGAUUCAAAUUCCAGGCUGCCUCGUGUGCUGUGGGAAGCAGCCUACACUCUAUUCAGUUCUUUUCUUUUCAUAUUGGUUGGGUUACUUUGAGUCUGGCCUACGUGAUGGGCGGUUUAGAGGUCAACCAAAGGAUUUCAGCAGAACUUAUACACAGAAUUUCAUUCAGGCUUCCCGUGUCUGAUUCUCCACAGUGUGGGAAUUUCCUCCCACUUUUCAGCCACUGUUGAGGAUGCCUUUUGGCAAAAUUCCUUGAAAUUGGAAACUUACAGGGAAAUUCCUUUCCUCCAAGAGUGCACUCUCCUCCAAUGUUGGCUUGCUUUUGGUUGUUCUCCGUGGUUUUAGAUAGCUGUCUUUAUUAUUAAUUCUGGAGUUUACAGUUGAUAUCUGUUGGGGGCUUAGUUUGAUAACACGUAUUUCUCAAUUACUAGUAGCCAGACCUGUAUGUCUUACUUGACCUGAUGGAGAAAAGUUUCAACUUAUGAGACAAUAAUGUGCUAGCUAGUUUUACUGAUUCGUACUCUAAAGUACCCAAGCCUAAAAUAGUAGAGCUGUCUAUCCCACAUGAAACUUCUCUGAUUUUCACUGUUUUUUAUAAAAAGUAUACAUGUUCAGAUUUCUGUAGGUUUUUUUAAGCAUCACAGUUUUUAUAAAUUUUCUGUAUUUCCAAGGUCUACCUGCUUUGUAUUUUGCCUAGCGAGAGUUUUGUAUUCAUGUAGGAAUAAUCUCUUGGUGUGAGUAUCUAUUUUCCACUCAUCCAAAACAGAUAGAGCAUUGAUUUCACUAAGCGUUAUGUUCUAGUUUGCUUUGGUAUUAUUAUUAGAAAUACCUGGUGAUUAAUUUGAGCUAACUAUUCUUCCCUACCCUCAUUCCCAGCAUUAUCACCCACUUUUCCACUUCCAAGGGGUGGAAGCAUUCUCCACAAUGCAUUUAUUCAUGCCAGAGAAAAAUCUAGAAACAAAUGAAUAAAAUGAAGAAAUUCUUUCCCCUUGGUAUCUGUAGCUAACUUGCCUAAGUGUUCUUUCCCACAGUUCAAGUCUUCAGUCCAUAGUUCAUAAGCAAAGGGGUGUAGCGAGCUCUGAUCUUGCCGGAAGAGAGAAUAAGUGAGCUACCCCAUGGUGGACAUUCUGGCCAUCUGAAAUGAGUCGAUGCAUGUGGCUUUUGUCUAAAGGCUACAAAUAAAAUGUAACCACUUUCUUCUUUGAGUAGUUGAUAUAACAAAUAGUUGAAACAGAAGUUUUGAUUGGCAAAUCAGGAUGUGGUAGAUACUUUAACAAAGAUAGAACUGUUACCAGUUUUAUGUGUUGCUGUUUGUAUCUCUUUCACAGUUUUGUAUAUCACAUCCUGGAAAGUGAAACAGAAAAUUAUUAAUCCAUUUUAAAUGACUAAAUUUGCCUUCAUGGUAUUUACAGUGAAAGAGUAAAUUAGAAAGUGAAUGGAUGACUGUUAAUGAGAAAAAGCAGGGUAAAAAGAUUUUAUUUAAUUAAUUGAAAAUAUUAGGGUCAAAACAUAGGCUUAUGUUAUGUUUUGUGAAUUGUGCUGUGUUGUAGACAUUUGGUGAGUUCUCCUAACAUAGAAUUGAUCUAGCUCUUGAAAUACCAUUUUUGAUUGAAUAUAAAUGGGAUAUAGGCACCUUACAACUUCACAAUUCGAGGAAGAUGAUGUGAAUCUUCCAAUUUUAUCUAUUUGAUUCAAAUGGUGUGUUUUUUCACAUUUCUCAUAAUUUCCACAUGUCAACUCCCAUGAUGAUCAUGCAGGAAAGCAGCAUGAUUGCACUUCUUGUAGUGCAUACCAUCACUAAAACAUAGUUAUUGUUUUUCUAUGGUCUUAAGAUAAAUUCAGAAACAGCAUACCAAUGUACAUAUAAGAUAAAUAAGCUUAUGUGGAACAAUAAGUGUUCUGUUCUGAGAAAUACCUUGAUUCAUAUUCUAAUGUCUGAUGUUAUUGGUAGUUCUCAAACUUCCCCAAUUCUGCUUUCAUCUAAAUUCAUCUUAAUUCAUCUUAUCUAUCUAUUGUUAAGUAAUCUAUCAGUCCAUUUUUAUCUAUCAUCUAUAUAUCUGUCUUUAUCAAUCAUUCGUCUGUAAUCUAUCUGUGCCAUUUGGCAUAAGAGACCGAAGGGCAUAGCAGUGGAAACUCAAAGGAGUUACCUCCAUGUGAAUGGACAGUGGUGAUGGUGAUCUGUGAGGUGGUGAUGUAUAAAAAGAAAAACUAGAAGAGAGCAUGCCCUAACUCAGGGACCUUGUCCAGCAGGCACUCUGGCCUUGUUACACUGUGCUUGAAUAUGAAAAAAAAAAAUCAAAAUAGUGCUGACAUUCUGUGUCUUCUGGGUCUGAGAAAACUUAGAGUAGAUAUGAUGACUGCCAUUUCAGUCUUUUGUAUUUCCACAUUUUAAAGCUCAGUUUUAAUUAUGUAGAAUUAUUUCUCCAGCCUGUGUUAAACUAGACCAUGGACUGGCAAACGUUUUUUUGUAAAUUGUCAAAUAUGCAUUUUCAGUUCUGAAAGCCUUGUGGUCUUUGUUGCGGCUAAGCUACUCUGCUGUUGUGUUAUGAAAGCAGCCAUAGGUAAUUUAUAAUUGAAUGAGUGCGCUGUGCCUUUCUUCCAAUAAAACUUUACAAAAGCAUCCUGUGGGCUGGAGUUUACCCUUUGGGAAACCAGAGCAUUGGCUAAACUGGAACCUGAAAAAAUAAUCACAUCAACUCAGCCACAUGGUAAUAAUAUUUAGGGUAUUAUUUCAACAUUUUCGUUUUCAUAAAAAUUUUUUUAGCUCUUUUGCCAAAUUCCGUUUGUGAGUGAUUCAGAUGACUACCACGUGCCAUUAACAUCACCUAAACAGUGCAAAACAAGCAUAGUAGAAGGAAUUGGAAUGAUAUAAACCCCUUGCUGUAAUAGUUAUAGUUGAUAAAUUAUGUUUCAAAAUUGAACCUAUUUCUUCCAAAUUUCAUCUAUAAAGUUCCAAGGAAUUCCAAAAUCUUGCCUGCCUUCUUUUCCCAGUUAGCAGUAUUGUCUCUGAGCAGCCAUGGUGGUAUCCAUCCUCCUUGGACAAUGAAUUUAGCCUAUUUUGACUUCAUUUGAGCAGUUGUAAUUGUUUCACCACAUCAGAGUAAGAUUACUACAUGCCAGAGCUAUUCUUUAAUGCAGCUUGUAAAAACAUGAUAGCAUCAACAAUAUACAUAGCAAAUGAAUGCCAUAUUUAAUCCAGUUAAAUGGUUUUUACAGAUUUGCUCGUUUGUUGAUGCUAUCUGCAUUGCAGUAAUUAAAGGUGAGGUAAAAAGAAUGAAUAAACUGCCAAGUUAAAAUUAAAUUUGGGCAGUUUCUCUUUUGCAGUAAUGUAUGUAUAUUUACUCAAAAUAUAUGCCAAAUUUAGUGUUGAAAGGCUCAUUCAAAUCAAUUGGGAAAGCAUGUAAAUGAAAAAUUCAUAAAAGAAAAGCAUUGCAAAUGGCCAAGAGCAUAGAAAAUGUGCUCAAUCUUAUCAGUCAUUAUAAGGAAAUAAUGAAAUUUGUGUCUAUAUGAAAUACUUAAAAUAUAUAUAAAAUAAAACAAUUAUUUGCUUUUUUUCACCUAUCAGAUUAACAGAUUAUAUGUGUUAACAAGGUGGGGAGAAUUUACAACUCCUGAUGUGUUAAAAUCUUUCAGGAAGGUAGUAGAAAAUAUAUGUAAGAUGGAAAUUAGCACUUUUGACCAACAAUUUUAGUUUUAGAUAUUUACCUAUAAGGAUAUAAUAGGAAGUGUUCAAAGAUGCAUGUAACCUUAAGGGUACUCAAUGUAGUGUUAAUUAUAAUUGUAAAAUAGUAAAUAACAUUUUUGUCAAAUCGUAAUGGUAGGAAAAUUAGUGAUGGCACAUUUAACCAAUUGAAUUAUAUUCAGUUAUGAAUACUGUGAUGCAUGUUCAAAUUAAUUGAUACAAAAAUCUAACAACUUUAGCAGUUUGUUUACCAGUUAUUGAGUACCAACUGUGUUCAACAUUGUUAUUUCACUCAUAUGAAAUGAUAAAUGUAUGUGCUUGUUAUGAUACGGUCAAUAAAACCACUUUUAUAGGAAGAAUACUCACAAAA